UGUUGGAUAAGAGUUUUAGUGGUCUCAAAUAAGCCACUGACAUUCUUAUUAUCAUAUAGGAUUUUCUAUUUUUGAUUUUAGAAAUUGAUUCAUAAAUUAUUUGAUUAUCAUAUAGCAUUUUCUAUUUUUUUUUAUUUUUUUUAUAAAUAGGAUUUUCUAUUUUUGAUUUUAGAAAUUGAUUCAUAAAUUAUUUAAUUAAUUUCAGGAAUGAUUUUUUGGAAAUGAUUUAUGAAAUUAGUUAAUAGAUGGUGGGUGAUGAGGUGGAGUCGCGGUGUUCAUCUGCAUACGUUCAUGCGUAAUCUCCGUAUGCUCAUCUCGCCUCCCUAUCAUCAUUCAAUCUCCAUCCCUUCAUGCGUCGCCGUCGGUCCAUCUCCGUCAACCACCUGAUACUUAGGGGCUGCUACAAGGAUUGUGUUAGCUACUGUGUGAUAUAUACUCUUUUCUCCAUCCACGAAUAGUUUAGAGAUAUAUGAAUCUAGGGUAUGCACUUAUGUUGUUUUUCACAAGACCGUUUAUAUACUUUUUCGGAUUCAGUGGUAUGUUUUCUUUCCAGGUUGCAGCUUUUGGCCUUGCAAAAUUGAAAAUUGGAUGCUCUGCUCUUUGUGUUGUUGAAGGCCUCAGGUUCAUAAUAGACUCAUUUAUUAUGCUCUUUCAGAGUUAGUGAAGCUACUCAGAUCAAUUAAUAAGACCGAGCAAUUGUCUGAUGAACCAUAAGUAUUGGACUAAUGCAGUCCACAAACUUUCGUCUUCUAUUUCUAUUAGGACCCAGAACUCUCCAAGAUUACUAUCCAAUAGCAAACAUGUUAUUGAUGCUAGGAUCAUCAAAACGGGGUUUGACCCAAAUACGAGUCGCACUAAUUUUCAGAUGGAAAGUUUCAUAAAAACUGGCCAACUUAUUAAGGCACGUCAACUGUUUGAUGAAAUGCCUAACAGAAACAUUAUCUCCGUGAAUACCUUGAUUUCAGGUUAUGUGAAAACAGGGGAUCUUGUUACUGCAAAGCACUUCUUUGAUGGAAUGCCUUCCCGAACUACUGUGACGUGGACUAUUUUGAUUGGUGGCUAUGCUAAACAUGGUUACCCUUUGGAUGCCUUCAAGCUUUAUGCAGAUAUGUAUAGGUCUAUGAUUAUGCUGGAUUCUGUUACUUUUGCCACAUUAUUGUCGGGUUUCAACCACAAAAUCUGGAAAAAUCAAAUGAUUCAAGUUCAUACCCAUGUUGUGAAAUUGGGAUUCAGUUCGGCUUGUACUGUGUGCAAUACUUUGUUGGAUUGUUAUUGCAAAUGUCAUUGCUUAGACUUGGCUUUUAGGCUUUUUAAUGAAAUGCCGGAAAGAGAUUCUGUUACUUUCAAUGCAAUGAUUACUGGGUAUGCAAACGUUGAGCUGAAUGAGGAAGCUGUUGAUCUUUUCUUGACAAUGCAGAAAACGGGUUUCAAACCCUCUGGAUUCACCUUUGCUGCAGUUUUAAAUGCCACUGUUGGGUUGGGGAAUUUAUUUUUGGGUAAACAAGUUCAUGGCUUUGCAGUGAAGACCAACUUUAUUUGGAAUGUUUUCGUAGGCAAUGCUUUGCUUGAUUUUUAUUCGAAGCAUGGUCGUGUAGAGGAAGCCGAGAAACUUUUCCAUGAAAUGACAGAGGUUGAUGGUGUUUCAUGUAAUAUUAUCAUAUCUGGACACGCAAAGGAAGGGAACUAUGAGAAGUCUCUUACCCUUUUUCAGGAGUUGCAGGGCACAAAUUUUAACAGGAAAAAUUUUCCAUUUUCCACUAUGUUAAGUAUAGCAGCUUAUAUGCUUAAUUUGAAAAUGGGUAAACAAAUCCAUUCCCAGUGUAUUGUGACAUCAGCAUCGUCAGAACUUCAAGUAGGAAAUGCACUCUUAGACAUGUAUGCUAGAUGUGGACGGUUCGAGGAAGCCAAUCUAGUCUUCCAAUCUCUCUCACAUGCGGACGCUGUCCCAUGGACAGCAAUGAUCUCUGCUCUUGUACAAACGGGGUACCAUGAAAAAGGGCUUGAUAUAUUCAUCCAAAUGUGCAGGGAAAAUGUCAACCCUGAUCAAGCUACUUUUUCCAGCAUCCUAAGGGCUUCAGCUAGUUUAGCCUCACUCUCAUUGGGAAGACAGGUGCAUUCUUUGGUAUUUACGUCAGGAUUUGUUUCCAAUGUGUUUUGUGGAAGUGCAUUGCUAGAUAUGUAUGCAAAAUGUGGUUCUAUGAGAGAUGCUACUAAGGCUUUCCAGGAGAUGCCUGAUAGGAAUAUAGUGUCGUGGAAUGCCAUGAUCUCUGCCUACGCUCAGAAUGGCGAUGGCGAUGGUACCAUUGCAUUAUUUGAGGAAAUGGUUUCAACGGGUCUACGCCCAGACCCGAUAAGUUUCCUUAAUGUCCUCACUGCUUGUAGCCAUUGCGGGCUUGUUGAUCAAGGAACGAAAUACUUCAACAGUAUCACUGAAUUGUAUCAUAUGGAGCCUAGGAGAGAGCAUUAUGUUACUAUGGUUGAUAUCUUAUGCCGAAGUGGACGUUUUGGACAAGCAGAAAAAAUGAUGGCUGAAAUGCCCUUUAUCCCAGAUGAGAUUAUGCUUUCAUCCAUUCUAAACUCAUGUAGGAUUCAUAAGAACCAAGAACUGGCGAAAGAAGUUGCAGAACAGCUAUUCAACAUGAAAGUGAGAGAUGCCUCUGCUUAUGUAAACAUGUCGAAUAUCUAUGCGGCUGCUGGUCAGUGGGACAAAGUUGUUGUGGUGAAGAAAGCUAUGAGAGAACGAGGACUCAAAAAGCCACCCGCUUAUAGCUGGGUGGAAAUCAACCACAGGAUGCAUAUUUUCUCAGCAAAUGACAAGUCGCAUCCAAGAUGGGAAGACAUCGAGAAGAAAAUCGAGUCCCUAUCAACGAGAAUGGAGGAGGAAGGCUAUAAACCAGAUACUAGCUGUGCCCUUCAUGACUUGGAUGAAGAUACCAGAGCAGAAUAUCUGAAAUAUCAUAGUGAGCGCUUAGCUAUAGCAUUUGCAUUGAUCAGCACCUCUGAGGGUUCACCGAUCUUAGUGAUGAAGAAUCUAAGGGCUUGCUCUGAUUGCCAUGCUGCAAUCAAGAUCAUCUCGAACAUAGUUGGGAGACAGAUUACAGUGAGGGAUUCUAGUCGAUUCCAUCAUUUUAAAGAUGGGUAUUGUUCUUGUGGAGAUUAUUGGUGAUUAUUGUUUCAGGACUUAUUUGGCAGUUCAGUUCAGGAGCAUUCAGUUCAGUUCAGGAGCAUUAAGUUCAAUAAGUGCACAGGGGAGCAAGCAACACCAAUGAAAGUGGUGGCCGCAAGAUCAAUGAAACAAGCUCCUUUCCACAAGGUAAAUCAAAUGCAAAGGCUUAUGCCACGUCGCUUCUUCAUCCACCGUUGAUCUUGUGCCACCUCUCCCUCUUCAGUCUUCACCUCCACUGCUUCCCUUCCUCUUUGUUCUUUUGCGGGUUUCCCGGAGCUCCUGAUGAGUUGCUCCCUCUUUCUUCACCCUUUCUCUUUCCUCUGUGAAUGUCGAAUAUUAUUCUGUCUUCUACGGAUGUGAAGAUCAGCAAUUGAAGAAAAGAAUGUGCUAUGGAUUGUGAUUGCCGGAUUUUUCUCUCCUCCUCCAGCUUGCAAUCAACACUCUCACUUCGUCUUCUUCCUCCCUGGAGAUGAACAAUCUUGCAAUUCCAGAACCAAGGGCUUUUCCAUGUAUUGCUUUAGUCUUGAAGUGAAAGGCCAUUGGAUGUUACCCAUGCUCAUGCUUUUGUUCAGGCUCUGCUGGGAAUUUAUCAUUUGCUUCAUCCUCAAUAUCUGGCCUUGUAGGAUACGUCAAGGCUUGGGAACUGCCACUUGUAAAUCUGUAAUGCUGUUGUAUAUCAAGCUCCUACUUUUUCUUCAGCAAGCUGUUAUUCAGCUUCUGUGUGGCAUGACAACAGUAAAGACUGCAUUAUGCUAAAGAUAAUCCGUGUUCUUCCACCUGCUGUUCUCAGCAGUCAAGCAAAAGCCAUUUCUCCUACAUGGGAACUUGCAAUUGCAGAAAGGUCCUGGUGUUUUUACCCCAUAUCGGUGAGCUAGUUUGUUCAAAUUGACUUUGAAAGGGAGGCACCACUACUUGCAGGAGAUAUGAGGUUUCUAAUAAAUCCUUCCAUUUGACUCAGGUGCAUUGGAACCAUGUCGAUGAAAAUGGUACAUUUUUCACUUUCCUGAUUGGAGUCAGGAAUUCUUGAUUGUCUUAUCAAGGAUUAUAUGUUUCUGUAUGAGAAGCAUGGUUUGAUUCAGUGAGCAUACUAGAAUCUGAUGAUGAUUUUAUCAGUGUUUUCGGAG
RNA transcript from Spinacia oleracea (spinach), 4290 nucleotides. It is a transcript of the gene named putative pentatricopeptide repeat-containing protein At2g01510, with no coding region annotated. The record is from RefSeq and is a predicted model, not a curated record. The transcript is spliced from 10 exons. Lineage: Eukaryota; Viridiplantae; Streptophyta; Magnoliopsida; Caryophyllales; Amaranthaceae.